GUCGAGGGGUAAAUGGUAGCAAUACUAUGAGACCGGCGGACGGGUGCGUAACGCGUAUGCAACAUACCUUGUGCAGGGGGAUAGCCCGUGGAAACGCGGAUUAAUAUUCCAUAGUCCAGCUAUAUCGCAUGGUAUAGUUGGUAAAGAUUUAUCGGCACAAGUUUGGCAUGCGUCUGAUUAGCUUGUUGGUAGGGUAACGGCCUACCAAGGCUACGAUCAGUAGGGGUUCUGAGAGGAUUAACCCCCACACUGGUACUGAGACACGGACCAGACUCCUACGGGAGGCAGCAGUGAGGAAUAUUGGUCAAUGGGCGGAAGCCUGAACCAGCCAUCCCGCGUGAAGGAAGACAGCCUUACGGGUUGUAAACUUCUUUUCUGUCAGAAGAAUAAGCUUGUCGAGACGAGUGAUGCCGGUAUGACAGGAAUAAGCAUCGGCUAACUCCGUGCCAGCAGCCGCGGUAAUACGGAGGAUGCAAGCGUUAUCCGGAUUUAUUGGGUUUAAAGGGUGCGCAGGUUGUUUGAUAAGUCAGUGGUGAAAGUCUGUCGCUUAACGGUAGGAUUGCCAUUGAUACUGUUGGACUUGAAUAUGGAUGAGGUAGGCGGAAUGUGUAGUGUAGCGGUGAAAUGCAUAGAUAUUACACAGAACACCGAUUGCGAAGGCAGUUUACUAAUCCAUCAUUGACGCUGA
RNAcentral lists this ribosomal RNA (688 nucleotides) under uncultured bacterium. RNAcentral's name for it is "bacterial SSU rRNA". It matches the Rfam family "Bacterial small subunit ribosomal RNA", at positions 61 to 749 of the family's 1533-position model. The record is from RNAcentral.